RNAcentral lists this transfer RNA (67 nucleotides) under Meroplius fukuharai. RNAcentral's name for it is "tRNA-Asp". The record is from RNAcentral. Lineage: Eukaryota; Metazoa; Arthropoda; Insecta; Diptera; Sepsidae.
AAAAAAUUAGUUAAACACAUAACAUCAGUAUGUCAAACUGAAAUUAUUAAUAUUUUAAUAUUUUUUA